GGGUCAGGGUCUCUGAGUCAAAAGUUAGAGCUUUAAUGGGUUAUUCUUGGAUUUCUCGUUCUCUUGGUGGGAUCUUCCCUGUUAUUGGUGGACCCUUGUAGUUCCGUAACUUAUUAUGGUUUGAUUUUUCAUUUUUAAUGGCAAACUAGGCUAGGAUCUAUUCAAUAAAAUUAUGGCUUUCCCCGAAAAUAUUCAUCUUUCGAGCUGCUCGCUGUUGGUGGAGAUUGGGUCAUGUUACUUUAUAGUUCACGGGAGCUCUAAUAUGCUUUUCCCCCCUAUGGAAAGAGAUUAAUUUUAGGGAGUGGUGCAACUAAGGAGGAAGAGGGAUCGAGAGAUGUAGAGUAGUUAUCUGUUGGUUAAGUACAAAUAUCUAAUUGUUUUAUGGGAUGUAGUUUCCCAAUUACUAGAAACGGUUGUGCUCCAUUCUAGGUUGCUGUGAUAGCUUUCAUGAAUUCUACUGGUAGAUAGUUACUUUUAGUGGAGUGUAAUCAAUUUUUUCCUUGUAAUUCAUGUUGCCUAGUGACAGUGCCUCUAAUGCCUGGUGUGUUCCCUUAGGGAUCAGGAAGGUUUAGGACUGCAGAUUUCUUGAUGAGCAUGGAGAGGAAGGUUGCGGUGUAACUACAAGAUAGUUUAUAGCUCUUGUAUCUUUCUUUCUGAUAUAAGCAAUAGCUAGACCAUGUAAAACUUUUCAUGCACUUAAUUUUUCUUUUUCAUUUCCUUCUAUUUUCUAUUCUUUAAAAUCAUGUUAUCUCCAGUAAUAGAUAUUUAAUUUAUUUCCUUUUCAUGAUAAGAAAGUUCUAUGUCUUCCCAACUUACUGGCCUUAUAACGAGUGGACCAUGCUCCUAUUACAAGUAUAGUAGUUAUUCUCAAAAGUUCCCAACACUUUUCCUUUAAAAAAGUUUUAGGGAUAAGUUCCAUUCAUCUGGCAGUAGAUCCAGUUGAUGCCCAUGUGGCAUUGAACUGCAAGAGCAAGGUAUUGCUGGCACCAUACCUUGCAACUUAAACCCAAAUAUCUUUUUUUUUUGACUUUACGGGAGAUCUUCAAAAGCUAUAUUGGCUCCGGAGCUAAAUCUUUCUAUGAGAUAUUUAUAUUUUCUUAGCAUCAGAGAACUUAUAAAAGGUUGGGUUUUUUCCCUUGCUCCAUGUGAUUAGAUUACUUUUCCCUAUGAGAGCUUUUUGUCGGUAUAUAAUGUUAUAGCAAAAAGUUUUUCAUUAUUGAACUAUAAAUAGAUUCUAAAAAACUAUAACUAGAAGGUGUUUAACCAAUGGAAUAUGACAAAGUAAAUUAUUAUUCUGAAGCAAGUGGAGAACCAGUAUAUGAAUCGCAUGGGCACAGAAGUCAUAGUCAAUUAGCAGUGAUAUGAUAUGCAUCAUCAUUUAGAACAUCCUGUUGAACCAAAAAUUUUGAGUAUAUUGUUGAUAGAAUUUAUUAGUUUAUUUCUGAAUCAGGUUAGCUUUGUAUUUUUAAGGUUGGUUUGAGGAUACCUGAGUCUGAAGUGUUUGGGCCUGUUCAUUUUGUGUUUCAAUUAUCAGAAAUGAGCUAAAAUCUGAGAAAUCUUGUUCUAAAUUUAAAAAGAAAAAAUACAAAAUACUAAUAGUAGGAUUCUUGCAGAAACUUGAAAAGAAUAGAAAAUAUUAAAACAGAUAUAAGACAUGUUUGGCUCUAAAAUCAUCAAUAUGUAUUUUAAAAUAGCAUAAAAGACUAAGAAGUAUUCUUUAAGCUGGUCAAAUCAUGGGAUGAAGUUUAUUGGUCAUAUUAAAUAGUAUAAUCUAGAUCAGCACGUUGACUUUUCCAUUACAUACUAAAAAUAGAGAAGCUCUGGUGGAAACUUGUAUAUCAAAGAAGUAAAAGCAGAAAUCAUUCAAUGUGUAAGAUGAAAAAUUGUGUAUAUUUAUUGUAUUUUCUAUAUCAUAAAUUGGGCACUGGGUGAAACCAGUCUCGCGUUGUUAGGACACCCACAAUUUGGAUUAUUCUUUUUUGUUGCCCAUAAAAAUGCAAAACAGGCCAAACCAGUAAAUACCUGUUUUAACUUCAUUUUUGGUCCAAUAGUUAUUGACAUUUGAUUUCUCAGAUGCAACAUUGUAUUUUGCACUAAUUGCAAGUUUUGAUUCCCUUGUACUUAUUUGGUGCAUGUGUUAUUCUCGUAGUAGUUUAUAUUUGAUGGACUUUUACGUCAAAGAAAAGGACUGACUGGUUGUUUCUUGACAGUCAUUCCCAUAGUUUCCUUCAAUCCUAGAGCUCAGUCAUCAAGACAUGCUGCUUUAAAGGCAAGGAUAGAUUCCAUCUUUCGGUGGAAGAAAUGGAAGUUGUCAAAUAAAUCAUCAUUGCUAUGAAUAGAUAUCUCGCGUGAGGAAAUAUGGAAUUAUAAUCAACAUUCCAUCUAUGGUAAGUCUUUUUCUUUUCAAAAAAGGCUUAUGCUAACCAUUUUACUGGAAAAUACUAGGUUUUAGUUAGAGGUGCACUAGGAGAAUUAUGUGGCACAUUUAAGGAGACAUAGGGAUGCAUAUGCAGUUCGCAUUUUUAAUAUUUAAAAAUAAAUAAAUAUAUAAAGAUUCAAAUAGGAACAUCAAGAGUAGUAACAUUAAUAACUAUAACUUUGCAAUCUGAAAUGUUAAUGAUUCCCCGUGCCUCCCUUGCACUUGACCUCUCUCUCUCUCUCUCUCUCUCUGUCCCCUCUCUUUAUUUGGACACCUGCAGCCCAGCUAAGACUCAUAUGUCAGCUGCUUUGAACCGUUGUAGCUCCUGGCAGCGGGCUGCUAUGGCAUCUGAGAAAAGUAUAGAUUUGCCGCUAAAUAAAAAAAUUGAAUGGUAUAAAUGGAACUGCUAUUGACUUGAAAAUCUUGCUGAGAACUUUCCAAAAACUGUUUCUCUAGAGAUGCUUUGAUUCUACUAUAUUUUAUGAGUCCAACAGCCAAUAGUCAUGCUAUGCUGAUUAUUUCCAUGGGUCUAUGAUCUUGAUGAUCUGAUUGUGUGAAAGAUCGUUUCCUUGGAUUUGGGCUGAGAAUCGAUCUUCUUGUCGAUAUUACCAUUUUCUCUUGGAUACCUGGUGUUGGCAGAUCUAAUUACUAUGGGUCCACAGCUUCAGAAGAAACUACUUGAUCGACUAUUUUUGUUCUUACUAUCCUGCUUCCAGUUUCAGCUGAUGUUUUUGGUUGUAGUUUUCUAAGGCCUUGAUCCCUUUUUUUAACCAAAAGGGGCAAAAAGAUUUUCUUUGAUUAACUAAUUGACUUUCUAAUUUCGAAGUAAUGGAUGUUCGCUUUAAUUCUAUUUUGUAAGUAACCUAUUGUUAUACCCAUAGUUUCCUAAAAUUGUAUCAAGUAGCUCUAGCUUUAUCUCUGGACUGUUUUGGACAUGUUUUCAGACCUUCCUGAAUAAUAAUCAACUUAUGGCUACUGUACAUUUAUCAAUUUCACUCCAUACUAAUGUGACAAGAUUUUUGCAUUGUUUACUUUUAAAAUGAUUUUUAUUGAAAGCUGAAUGGAAAUGUAAAGCUGAAUGGAACUGUGCAAAUUGCCUUGUUUCACAAUUGAUGUUUCUCAUGUGGACUUGCAGUGCAUAUCUCAUGUGUUGUUCAAAUGCCUGCAUUGACAAUGAAGAAUAAAUUAAGCAGCGAAUGUGUAAGACGACAUGGUCUCCAUGUAUGCCGCAAUUCAACUAAAAUAUCAAAAGAUUCAUGCUCUCAAGUUAAAUCAUUGGAACAGGCAGCUGUAUUGGACACUUGUAUUCAAAAUCAUCAGGAUGGUAAGUGACGAUAUGUUUAGUCUUCUAGCAAGAGAAAAACAAAGCAUAACCAAUCCCAUUUCAUUGACUCAACUAUGCCUCGCAAUUUUUUGACAUUAGAGCUUAAAUUUGCACUCUAUGCAUGCCUUUUUGAAAUCUUUUUUUCCGAACAUUUUUCCUAGAUUUUUGUAGGUUUUUUUACCCUUCAUUUAUUUGACCUAUGAAGAAGGAUGUUAGCAUUUCUUAAUAUUCUUCUUAUUUUUUAGCUGAUUUUGCUCAUUUUCCUUCUUUUCGAUGCCCAUAAGAAUGGAAAAACAUAACUAGUAUUCCAUUAAUCAUAUCUUUAUUGCCCUAGUUUUGAAAUUUAUUCUCAUAAAUCUCUGUUACAAGAUUAUUUAUUAUCACAUGAAUCUCUAGGUUUCUUCUAAACAUAACUAAUAUUCCAUUAAGCAUAUCUCUAUGCCCUAGUUUUGAAAUUUAUUCUCAUAAAUUCCUGUUACAGGAUUAUUUCACUAUCACAUGAGACUCUAUGUUUCUAUUGGCAAAAAACUUUUUGAGGUGUUAAACCUUCAUAUAGUACACUUUUAUGUUAUUCAGAGACCUUUUUGCCAUCCCCCUUUGGUUAACUCUUAACAGCUCUGUUGGCUGAAAUCUUCCAAGUGCAGGUUCUUCAAAUAUUGACAUAUCUGGACAGAACAUUGUGAUCACAGAAGCUAAAGAUUUCCAGAACAUAUUGGAUGAAGCCUCUACCCAUAUUCUGAAGGUGUCAUCAUUAUCUGCUCCUUUGUCAAUUGGACAAUUGGUAAAUUAUGUGCCUUGUUGGUGGUGCUCUUACAUACCAUACUGUUUACUCGAUAUAAGGUUAUGUACAAUAUUAUAUUACUUAUUUUUUCAUUUUUGUUUAAACCCACAUUGUUCUGCUUGUAUUCCAACCUCCCCCCUGGCCUCCUCACUGCAGUCACCAUGAUUAACAACUUGGUUCUGGCAACUGAUUUGGUGAAGUGCUACCGCAUAAUUAAUUAAAGUGCAACCACAUAAUUAAUUAAAACCAUUUGAAGUUUCAAAAGACAAUUUAUUCAUGCAUAUGCAUAAAGUAUAUAUGCUUAUGUAUUGUUUACACUUUUUAGUUGCUGUAUUGAUGUUAAUUUAGUGGCUUUAUUGAUGGGAUCCUACAGUUGUUAGGCCUUGGCACUAGUCGGACUCUAAGUCUUAGAAAGUGAUUGAGUCGCUUGUUGCUUUUUUAUUUAUCUCCUGAAAUGAUCAUUUGAUGCUAUUGGCAUGGUAACAAAGAAAGUGAUUCAGAGGAGGAAGAAAGAGGGAGAGAAAAGUGAGAAGAAAACUAGGCACCCAUAUGGUCAUAAGUUGAUCAAUUAGGUAGGUGAAAUUGAUCUGUAUGAGAGGUAUUUUACUUGAAAUACAAUACGUGACACAAUAGGACUGGGUAUAAUUAUCAAAGCACAGAGUAUAUGAUGUCAGGUGACUUAGGAAGCUUCUUUUAGUGUUGUAGCUUAGGUUUCAAGAAUAUUGGAUUUCUAGAGAUUUUCUUUGAGUGGCUCGAUCCAUUUUCCUAGUCUUUUUAAAUUUACUAUGCUUGUCCCUAAGCUGGAGUUAAAAGACAUGCUCGAGGUACUUGAGUAUAUGUCGAUAAUUAGGUACAAAAGAAGGGUGUAAUUGGCCUAUAUCAGAGAGAUUUCAUUUUGGAUAUCAUAUUUGGUGAUACAUUUUCAGAUCUAAUUAUGAAAAUAUGAGUUUUUGGAAUCAGGUGACUUGGAUGGAUUCUUCUUGAUUUUAUAGCUUGGGUGUUAGUAACACUAGGAUUUCUUGUGAUUUUCAUUUGGUGGAUCAGUCCAUUUAGAUAAUUCUUUCUUUUCCAAUGAAUGUUUUCCCAUAUAUGUUUUUGAUGGUUAUAUAAGAUACAAAAUAGAUGUAUAUAGGGUUGAUUCAUGGCAAGGUUUUAAAUCCCACAAGACAGGUUGUCUUGCUUUCUCCAUGUAACAGGAUGCCCGUCUAUCUUGCCUUGUCCCAACAGCCAUCUGGUAGGUAACCUCCGUCUUUCCCCAUCUUCUUUCUUUUUUUUUCUUUUUUAUUUUUUAUUUUUUCCUUCUCUCUUUUCUUUAUUCCUUCUUUCCUUCAUUCCGUACCAUUUUCUUCUUUCUUUCCUUUCUUCCUUCUAUCCUUCCUUUCUUUUUCUUCUCCCUUCCUUUCUUUCUUUCCUUUUACUUCUUCUUUCCUUUCAUUUUUCCCCUUUUCUUCUUCUUUCAUCCUUUCUUUCUUUCUUUCUUUCUUUCCUCUUUUCUUCGUUCGCUAUCAGCGACAUGCCCAUGUAACAUGGAAACUAUUUUCUCUCAUAAUCUUGAGGACAAUGAUGCUCAGUUAAAACUGAUGAAUCAUAGUGAUNNNNNNNNNNNNNNNNNNNNUCUUCUUCUUCUUCUUCUUCUUCUUCUUCUUCUUCUUCUUCUUCUUUCUUUUCCUUCUUCUUCUUCUCUUCUUUCUUCUUCUUUCUUUCUUUCCUCUUUCUUCUUUCUCCUCAUGGAUAGGUUUUGGAGCCCGACCCGUUGUCCCUGUCCCGUUUUCUCACAAGAAUGAGACGGGAUGGCCAGGAUCCCCCCAUCCCGUGAGGACUUUAAACCUUGAUUUACGGUUUCUAAUUGCUGAGGAGACAUAAAGUUAAAGGAGUGGGGAUUCGUUGAUAUUAUGGAGACAUGAAAAAUCUUGGAUUAAGGGUUUUUGAAGAACAAUUAUUGCAUAUAAUCUGUUAAAUUUUUUAAAAACUUUAAACAAACAUUAGAGGAGGAAUGAAGAAGAGAACAAGGGGAAAAGAAACUCAGAAAAAGGAGAUGGAUUUGGGAAAAAUCACAAUUGGGCAAGUUUUAAGAAAGUGUGCUUAAAGAGUGUCAUGGAAUAAAUAACAUGCAUAAAGGAGUAGUAUGAGGAGUUUCAAGCAUGUGCCAUGACAUAAGUGAGUUUGCUAUAAUGGUAGGCCAACACCAAGGGCUUCUCUUUAGCCUAUAUGUCUAUACUUUUUUCAUAUGUGAACUUAGUUGCAAAUUGAAGUUGGAACUAUGGAGAAAAUCUUUGGAGAUAAGGGUCUAAAGAGUGAUCAUUUUCCACUAUCUUGGAUCUGUUUUAUAAUAUGUAGGCUAAUAUGAAAACUUUUAAAUGGAAUCGGAAGUGGGGUUAAAAAAUUGGAGAUGUGCUUUGGAAGGUGUUUUAAUCACAUUUUCUUUCAGACAUAGAGGGAGAUAUUAAAAUACAACAACAAGGCCUAAGAUAUUGUAUGGAUCAAACUAUCAGGCAAUAGAGAGUCCAACACAUUUGAUGAGUAUGGUGGAGAUAAGAGUGCUAAGUUGGAUGUGUGUUAAGAAAGCUUAGAAUUAGAAACAAACACAUUAGAGGAAUUUUAGGAAUUGCAUCAAUUUGAGAAAUUUGUUGCGCAAAGUCAACUAGAUUGUAUGGGAAUUUGUAAUGAAGAAGUGAAGCCCUAUUAUGAAGAGCAGCUCCUUUUUUUAAGUGCAGUGGCAAGACAAGAUAGAGGUUGAUGCCUUUGGCUGAUGGUGAUGGUAACUGGGCCAGGUUGGAUCCGAAUAACAUGAAAAAUGGUGAGAUAGGAUUUGGAAAAAAUGCUAGUUAUAAUGUGCAGCUCUUGUGGGAAUGAACGACGAAAGAUACAUAAAGUUAACACAAUAGUUGAGAUAAAUCUUGUUGAUCAAAAUUAUGAUUAGAUUACGAUCAUGUUGUGGCCUAUGAGUGUAUUUGCCUUUAAAAAAUCUUUUAUCUGCCUGGUGUUUGGUCUGCUUAGAACUAAUAUUUUUGCAUAAUUCUUUAUACAAUUCAUUCAGUAGGCUGUCUUUAGCUAGCCUUAUAUUUGCGGACUGUCAAAUGAAUGUUUUUUCUAAAUAUUGUGCAAUUUUAUGGCCAUGAUUAAUUGUGGGCAUAGAUUACACAAUUUGGAGAGGAGGUAAGGAAUAAGGCUUUUCUUGAGCACUUCGAUAUUAUAUAGGUCUCAGUUUAGUAACUCAUUAUCAUAACUACCAUGGCCAAAUAAAAUAUGAGAUUUGUGGCAAUUGAAUGAUGCAAUCAUUGAAAGUUUCAAGGUGCACUAAAGUUCUUCUUUUUUUUUCUUUCUUUUUCUUCAUUUCAGUUGAUGGAUGGGUUUGGCCAGUUUACAUUUGGAGUUAAUUAACCCAUUUAUUGUGCUGAGUAAGUAAUUUCUAGAUAACAACUUAAGCUAGUCAUAUUUUAAUUUUCACUUUUUAAUCAAUCAGCCAAUGUAAGAGGUAUAUUGACGCAAAACCAGAUCAUAGAAAUUGGCUUUUAGAAAAAUACGGUCUCAUGUGAAUUCCGAUUAUAUUUGGAAAAUCAUCUAGCAAGUCACGUCUAUAUCAAGGAAGGAUUCUUAAUGUGAGUCAAAAAGGUUGGUUUGCUUAGUUUGAAUACUGGAAGGAUGGGAGCUGUGAUUUGAACAGCCAUCAUAUGUUGGGAUAUAUUGUGCCCAUCAUUUUGCUUCUCUUCUUUCACAUCAUGUUAGAUAUAAAACCUCUCCUUAUCACUUUUUUAGUUGGUGAUUCCUAAAGAAACUGGUGGUGCUCUGUAAGAUGUCUAUCAUAGUUACACAAAGAGACCUCGGUCAAUUCUGAGCUUCAGCAGUAAUCCACUAAUAGAAAUUGAGGUUGUACACUGGCUUCUUGGUAUCCAAUUAACAGUCCCACAUUAUUUUGAAUAUUUCUAUGUUUAUUUGUUGAUUGGCCCAUCUACAUCUCUGUCAAACAAUACCUAGAUCAUCUUUAACAUUAAAUCGUGGGCAAAGCCAUAUAACAACAUUCAUUUUGGUAUCAUUAUGGAUUUGUUACAUUAAACUGAUCAUUCAAACUCCUGAGUGUAAAAGAAAGUCUCCAUAUCUUACUGAAGACCAUGACCUUAAUCUGUCUUUAAAUUCCUUCAGUUCGUACUUACAAGAUUUAUGAGAAUUCUGCUUUAUUAGGAUAUUUCAUCUCAUUUAGUAUACCUUGCAACAUCCCGUUAAGUUCAAUAACUUUCACUGUUGCUCAUCAAAGCAAUAACUGUAGAAUGAGGAUUUGUCAAAGAUCAUUAGAAAAAUUGAUGGGGACAUUGGUCAUUAUAGUGAGCAUAAUUGCUUCGGCAUUUGGUGAAUUUGUACUUUCUACUAUGAUUCAUAAUUACUAUAUAUUGGUUUAACAGAGUCGUUAUCGUUACUUAUGCAUUGAGUAUUUGUUUAAUGUUCUUUAGACUUGGCAAGUUAUACUUUAUGUGGUUUUUUGUAUUAAAUAUGCCGUUACAAUGUGCAGGGUUCGCUAUCAGCGACAUGCCCAUGUAACAUGGAAACUAUUUUCUCUCAUAAUCUUGAGGACAAUGAUGCUCAGUUAAAACUGAUGAAUCAUAGUGAUGCAGGUACCCCAGGCAUCUCAAAAUUUUUGAUGGAAUAGUAUGCAAGUCAAGCAAUUUGCUUUACUCAGUAUAAAACCUCAGGGUGCUUUCAUUUGAUUUAUUCUGCAUAAUAUUUGCAAGUUGGUUCUGUUUCAGAAUUGUAUUAUUCUCCUCCUUAAUCAUGAUAAUGAUUAAAGAAGACAUUCCAUGCUUAAUGUUUUAAAGUCAUGCGUGUCAGAGAGACAGGCAAUAUGGAAAUGCAUAGUGUCUAUUGGGAAACUAGCCAAGGUUUGCAACUAUUUAUUGGACAGAAAAAUUUAACCCUCAAAAAUUUGGAAGCAACAGGCAGCUGCAAAAAGUCGAGAGGAAGUAACUUGGAAUGCCAGGAUAAUAUAUUUCUUUUAAUUGCUCUUAUAUUAUUAGGAGAAAGUUUCUCAAAAUACAACAAAACUUCCUUUUAUAUCUCAAGAAAGUUAGAGUGAAGCGUACGCUAGUUGCUAUUGUGGGAUCAAAUGAAUUUUAAUUUAAUAUUUAUUUUUCAUUUUUUUUCUUUCUUUGGACAUAAUUCUGACCUAACAAUUUAGGCCCACUGUUGAGAUUUAGGAGUCCUUUAUAGUUGAAAAUGAUUUAAGGUUGUGACGAUGGGAUGCAACUUCUGAUUAUAUGUUGUGCAUCAUUAAAUAGACUCAUUUUGACCAAAGCUAUAUGGGCCUGAAGGCGUGAUGGUGGGAUAACAGGUGAAAAUGCCUUCUUGUUUUAGUCAUAAGUUAGUUUAAGGGAUCGGCAUACUUAAUUAAAAUUGAUUGUUUGGAUUAAAUCUUGGUUCCUUAUGGUUUAAGUCAAUGCAAUCUAUAUGUAAAGGUCGUAAGGCCAUUCCCGAUAUUUAAAGUUUUUGAUGAAAUUAAUAAAUAUUUGGGUUCUUUUUCUCUCACCAUUUUCUAAUUCUUUUGUUCUCUUUCCUUGUUCCGAGGCUUGAGGAUUUCGAGCAUCCAAAGCAACAAUUUUUUUUGACUUGGAAUGUGAUUUAUUCUCAUGCAUUUUCUGCAUGAAAUAUGAAAAUGCAUCAUAUUUAAAAGAAAGGAUCAUAGAUCUGAACGGAAUCACAUAUUCAAUCACCUCAAUCUUUUCUGCAUUUGGCUAAUAGAUGGUUUGAAUAUGUGCUGGAAAACAUAAAAUAUUGUUAGUGUUCAACAGGAUUUGAAAAACACAACAUCGAAAAAAAGAAAAACAUGUAAGAAUCACAAAAGAAAAGAAGCAGAAAAGCGAUUUUGCAAUAGUGUCUGCAUGAGUGCUUCCUCAAGAUUUGCUAGAGGAGCAUCAAGUUUUCUGAGACAAAUGCUUAAGGGAGUGCCAAGGACAUGCAGCAGCUCUCAGCACUUGGGCGUUUAGGUGUUCACGGCAUCCUAAAGCUUGGGCCUUUAUGGAUACUGGAGGUCUUUUAAGGCUUGUAUUUUUCAUGUGAAAGUCCUAAAAAGUUUCAGUUGAACCUCAUCGAUUAAAGAGAUAACCAAACUAUCAUAAAUUAGUUAUGAGUUGUGCUGCAAGGUUCGUGAUCUUGGUAUUGGACCCUGUACCAGUACCAUGCUAAUAGAGUGUUGGUACACUCAAUACGUGGUUUGAUUCGGCGUAGCCAUAUCGAGUCUCAAUUUGGUACUAUUAUAGUGCGAUACACCCGAUACAGAGCAGUACGCACCAGUACGCCAACCUUGUCUGUCUAUGCAUCUGUAUGGGUAGUACUUUAGUAGUGUAAAACUAGCAAUAAUAUUUAGUGUUCUUUUUUUGCUGGGAAUUAUUUAUUAAUGCUAGCACUUAUAUUUGCAUAAUGUUAUAUCUGGUUUAGUGUCAUUAUAUGCAUUAGACUUUAUAAUAGUUCUAACAUUACCAUCAGUAUGUCAUAUGCUCUAUUAUCCAUUUCAGUACUGGAAUUUGUGUUACAAAUCUGGUGUCUAUAAUGAUGCAAGUCCUAUUUAAGUACAAGAUGUAAUAGUAAUUAUGUUAUUACCACUAUCUCGAUAGAUAAAAACCUUACCAAACUUGAUCUUCAUCCUCGUAUGAGAAAAUCUUAAGGCCAGAGAAAAGGACAAGGAGACGACCAAGGGUACAAAAGAAGUCGAGAAAAGGGUUGUUCAGUCUUUCUUGCUGGUUGGACACCAUACCUUCAAUUAUAGGACUCAAUGAUUGGUAACAGACCAAAAUGUUUUCUAAUGUUGCCAGCGGUCGUGUUGGUAGAAACUCAGCCAUGGGUCUGAAACACUUUGAAACAUGACCUGACUGCUUUUGACUCAAUUCAGGCAACAUAGCCAUCCACUUAAGUUAACUGAACACAAUAUCAUCAUAAAAUCAAUACUAGCACCAUGGUAUGAGAUACCAUCUGUAUUUGUAACAUAAAAGUUUUUCUAAUUGGAAUUACAACCAAGCGCAUAACAAGAUUAGCAUACUGUAGUCCAACACUAAGAUUAAUUAUGGUACUACAGUACCAGUUCAACAUCAAGAUUUGUCUUUAGAUCAAUAGGAUCGAGUAUCAUUUACAUCUGUACCAAUGAAUAUAGGCAGUUGUCAUCCUGCCAAGCUAUAGCCUGCAGCACAGUCACAGAUUAUAGUGCUGUAGAUGUUGAUGUCAGUAUCUAGCUUCGAAAUUUAUACAGAAGCUUCAUUCUUCUCUGUAUUCAAGUCCAGAGGGAUUGCUUCUUGAUCAUCUAUUGAGGGAGUUGUCAGGUAAAAUUUUCACAGGUCACCAUUGAUUGCUCUGGUGCUACCUAAGAGCACCAAGUACUGGGUAUUGUGUACCAUAUUGAAGGAGACCAGCCCAAACUGUAUGCAACUUCUUUGUGGACGACUGCCAACUGUGCAAGAUAUUAUACAACAGAAAAGAUUGCUCUGGCACUUUGGUGAAAUCCUAUGCAUUGACAAUAUACAUGACUAAAUACAUAAGAAAGGAGCUUGAGCAAAACCUAUGCAAUAAAAUUAUAAACUGCUAAAUAAAUAAGAAGAGAAUGCAGGAUGAUUGAGAAGCAAAGAAUGGAGAGAUAGAGAGUGAUGUUUGGAGGAUAAAAAAGGGCAUCCUAGUGCACUAGGCCCUUGCCACCGUGCGGUCUAGGGAGCGUUAGAUGGGCGCAGCCUUACUCUCACUUGCAGAGAAGCUGUUUUUGCGUUUCGAACUCGCGACACCCAAAUUACAAUGGAGCAAUUUUACCAUUGCACCAAGGCCUGUCCUCUAUAUAAUUUAUAGACGGCUAUAUAGAUUGUUGUCCGAUAUGACUGUUUAAAGCUCCUUGUAGCUUGGUGUAUAGAUUAUACUCGCCGUUUUUUCUUAGCUUGUCCUUGAUAUACUUGGAUUCAAGCAUCCAUUUGUUGUUGUACAUGCAAUGGCAGCUUGGUAAAUUUGUACAUAUAAAACAUUAUAUCUCAUUAUUUUGCGGGUUAUUUUGUGACCAAAUUUACUCUUUUCGCAGUUAAAGAUGAGAAUUCUGAAUUGCCUCAUCUUGUUGCUGAUGAGAGUGAUGAUGGAAGUUGUAGUUCAAGUGAUUCUCAAACUUGCAGUGUAUUGAAUUUCUAUAGCUCUGAGAGUUUUCCUGCUUUACCCUUUGAUACUGAUAUGGGAUUUACAUAUGUCAUAAAUGCUGCUUGUUCUAGUCACGAGCUUACAAAUUCUGACAUAAUGAUUGAUAUGGCGGAGAGAUACAUGAUACUGCCUUUCCUAGAGAAAACAGCAGAAACCAGCAACAUUCAUGUUGAGGAGUCCGAAGAAACAAUGAUGAAUUCUGAUGAUGCAUGCUUGUAUCUAGCAAUUCACCAAAUGAAAUCAUCCGAUCAGGAAACUGAGAUAACUUGUUGUGGUGAUUUGGAUAAAAUUGAGUGCUUUGAUCCACAGUUGGCAUUUAGUAGUUUAGCUGAUUUGCCUGAAGCACUUUCACCUGUUUGUCCUAUCUUGCUUCCAAAGGAAUUGCAGAAAACGAAGCCUAUUACCCUUGUACUUGAUUUGGACGGUAAGCUGAGUUGAAAAUUUGUAUUCAUUGUCAUAGAAAAUUUCCUAGUUUGUAGUAUUUUAAAGAUGCUGCUUCUUUGAUUGUUCUUAAUUUUAAUUGGAAACUAUUUUAAAGUGCAUCAAGCUGUGUUACGUGGUCCAUGUAUGCCAUCUUUUUUUUACAGAGUAACUAAGAAAGCAUUUUUCUGUCUCCGAUGCAGAAACUCUUGUCCAUUCUACCUUGGAGCAUUGUGAUGAUGCUGACUUUACCUUUCCAGUCUUCCUUAACAUGAAACAACAUACCGUAUAUGUUAGAUGUAGGCCUCACCUGCAGCUGUUUCUGGAGAGGGUAGCUCAGAUAUUUGAGAUUGUCAUUUUCACAGCCAGUCAAAGUAUCUAUGCAGAACAGCUAUUGGAUAUACUGGAUCCAGAGAAAAAGUUGAUUUCACAGCGUAUUUAUCGUGAAUCAUGCAUAUUUUCUGAUGGCAGCUAUACAAAGGACCUGACUGUUUUAGGAGUUGAUUUGGCAAAAGUUGCCAUAAUCGACAAUUCUCCACAGGUAGUAUUGCCCCUCUGUAUCUGCAAGUUUGUGAGGGUUCAGCUAGAGUACUCAUCUACUACUAAAUAAAAUUUCUCAUUAAAAGUUUAUUUACUUUGCUGCUAAUCAAUGAACUAUUGUUACAUUUUCCUCCAUAAGUUGCCAGUAUGUUUCACAUGGAGAGCCUUUUUGGUUGCGUUGCCAAUUUUCUGUUUUUGUUUUGUUUCAGGUUUUCUAGAAACAGGUAACAUUUUGGUCAUCAAAAUCAUAUAGUCAUAUUUCAAUGGGAUUUUCUCUUUAGUUUCCAAUGGGGUAAAAAUUUUUGACUAUCUGAAUUUUUUAAAAUUUAAGAAACCAUUUUUAAAGGCGAAGAAAUGAAAGCUGAGCAUAUUUUAUAUCAUGAUACUGUUUUUUCUGUUCUUAAACAAUAGAAAACAAUAAAUAGAUGAACCAUCAAGUGAGUCCAUCACUAUGAGAUUUCAAAUUACUUGGAUGACAGGUUGAGAGUUGGAAAAUUCUGCAUUUCUUGACUUUGGUAUUGAGAUUUAAUAGUUAAAAAUUUAUUCAGAAGAUUAUCAUUUGAAGAGCAUAAGCCAAAUUUAUCUUGCUUUCACGUGCACACAUAUUGUCUUCUGUCAUCAAAUAUUUUUAGUAUAAAAAUACUGUAAGUAAUAGAAACUAUGAGAUGAUUACUUAUUUAUUUCUCUAUCUUUCAUCCUUGAUUUCAGGUUUUCCAGUUGCAAGUAAAUAAUGGGAUACCUAUUAAGAGUUGGUUUCAUGAUCCGCAAGACCAUGCAUUGCUUCAAUUACUUCCCUUCCUUGAGAGCCUGGCAGAUGCAGAUGAUGUCCGUCCCAUUAUUGCAAAGAAAUUCAGAAAUAAGGAAUGAUGACAUUUGUUGGGGAAGCCGUAAGUUUGGUUUUUUUACUACUAUGACUUUCUACAAUAUCUCAUCCUUUUGAAGAACUGUUACAUUAUAUAUAUAUAUAUAUAUAUAUAUAUAUAUAUAUANNNNNNNNNNNNNNNNNNNNNNNNNNNNNNNNNNNNNNNNNNNNNNNNNNNNNNNNNNNNNNNNNNNNNNNNNNNNNAUCCAACCGGUUUCUGCUGACCAGUUUGCACUGGUAUGCGCGGGGAAGAAGGAAGAGGGAAGAAAGAAGAGGAAAAGAGAGAGGAGGAGGAGGAGGAGGAGAAGAAGGGAGGCCGGGCCUCGGGCUAACCGCCUUCUUCUUACCCCGAUGAGGAUCACCCCCCUCCCAAGAUCCGUUCGCCCCUCCUUGCUCGGGAGAAGAGAGGAGAAGAAAGGAGAAGAUUCGGGAAGAAGGAAGAAGAGAAAAAAAAGAAAAAAAAAAAAAGGGAAGACGUGGCCACGGCGGCGGGGGGGGGGGGAGGGUUGUUGCGCUCGCAGGGAAACGCGCCACGUGCGGGGAAACGAACAAGAAGGCGCCCGCGCACGGAAACACGAGCGGAAAGGCGCCCACGCGUGGGGAAACGUGGGGAAGGGAAGCAUCCCGUGCGUGCUGGGCAGUGCACCCUGCGUGAAACCAAAUCUCUCUCUCCCUCUCUCUCUCUCUCUCGUAUGUCAUGCUAUCUUAUGUUAUCCUGAUUUUCAUUGAAAAUAAAAUUAUUAAAAUUAAUAUGACAUUGAAAGUAUUCUAACAGAGUGGAAACCAUUAACGAUUACUAAUUUAUUGAUCUUGUUUUCUGAUCUCAGUUUUCCAGUUACAACUGAACAAUGGAUUACCUAUUAAGAGUAGGUUGGGUGAUCUUCAUACCAUGCACUGAUUUCAACCAUGGCCAGUGCAGGUGAUUUUCAUCCCAUUAUUGUGAAGAAACUCUGCAAUAAAAAGAAAAGGUGUUUGUUCAGACAACCAUGGGUUUAGUUCGUUGCCUCCUUUCACUUUCUACAGAAUCUCAUCCUUCAGGUAGCUUCCCUCAGAAUCAACACAUUUUUUCUCUCAUCUUUAUUCCCAUUUAUUUAUGGCAAUGACUCUUGUAACUCGCAGAUGGUUGCUGAUGGUUGUAUAUAUGGAUGAUGACAAAGCUAACUGCCUAGAGUCCUAUUCCUUUGAUCUUAUUUUGGUCACGUAGGUGUGUAUGAGAAUAAUGUUCUUGCAUUAUUGGGUGCUCGGUUGGCUGAUAAAUGGACGUCGUUAAUAAUUCAUCUAUUAAUAAAUCAUGACUUGGUUGUAUCAGUCCACAGUAAUGGACUUAAUUUUAUGCAUUUUACUGCCAAGAGUUGUAUAUAAGUUGACUGGUGGUGCGCUCCUCCAGAGAAAAGGCAAAAAAGGUUGACUGCUGCCACUGUUCUAUAUUUCAUAUGAUGACCAUAAGAUGGGUGGUACAAACAAUGGAAUACCAAUAUUGAAGAGGGGCUGCUUGUAAGUAAAGGAGUAUAAGGAGGGCUCCACAUACCUCACACCUACACAAUCCGGGACCUAAAGUUCGGUUUCUGGUACAAUCACCGGGAGACUUUCCCCGAAAAAUUGGCUGGCAUCAUUAAAGAUAUUUGUUGCUUGGAGGUUUAAAUGUCAUUAUAAUCAACAAUUUUACUUGUGGCGUCCAGGCUGUGUCUGUGCUUUUAAAUGGCUAAAUGCACAAGUAAUUGUAGAUCAUGUUAAUUAUAUGAUAUAAGAUUGAUGACUAUCUGAAUAAUCUGAUUAUGUUGGUGUAUGUCAUGGAGUUAUAUGGGUGUAGUUUGAUAGUAGUCAAGUCUCGUAAACAGGUAAGGAGAAAACUCAUGAAAUUACCUCCUCUGUUGCUGACAAAUUCCUAAUCAAGGGCCUCUUCUAAGAAUCAUCAAAGGUGAUUAACAAGAUAUGUGGCCUUUUCAUAAUCUUUUAGAUCCUCGGGAAUUUCUAUGCUUGAAAUUGCCUACAUGGCUAGAGGAAAAAAAACUAUUCUUUGCGAUUGUGGCCAUGAAGCCAUCCUCUGAAGCCUUUGUCCAUAAUAUUUAUUUAUUAAUAAAUCAUAGAAAUUCACUAAUAUCUUCUCUUGGAACUACCGUAGGAGGUAGAGGUGGUGAUGGCUUUGAUGCAAGGCAGAGCCUAUUUAAAAUGAUUCUUCUAUGCUCAAGCUUGGGCUACGAUCAUAUCUAGUGCAUGUUAGCUGCUUUUGGUUGGAAGGACUUCUUGUUACCAUGGCUCGAACCCUCAACCUCAUGAACAUAUACAAACUCACAUGCCAUCAAGGUGGAGGGGCCUUGGUGUUGGAAGGACUUCGUGGAGGAAGACUGGAGAGGAUGGAAAGGCAAGGUGGAGGAAGGAAAGGAGAACGAGGAGAGUGCACUCCAUCUCCAUGGGGGCAAUUACUCGAGAAAUGAUGUGAUGUGAUGACGGGAACACGUGAGAAGUGUUAUUUGUUUACUUCUUUAUUAAUUAUUUGUUUGAUAUUAUUUAUUAGUUAGCCUUUAUGGAUAUAAAGUCAAAACAGGCUGAGCUAGGCAGGAGAGCUCAACAAUAUGUGUUCCAGUCGGGCUUAUUAUCAUUUAAGUCGAAGUUUACAUCAAAUAGAGUUAAUUUUCUGUUAAUUUUCAUAGACCAAAAGUGUUCAAACUCGGUUUCUUUAAAUCAAAUUUUAGAAAAAGUAACGAUGCUCUUUUUCUUACCAAAAAAAAGAGAAGAUGAAUCAGGGCUGUUCAUGAACUGGUCCAUAAACUAUUUUUUUUCUAUGAGCUGAGUUUAGAUGUCAGGUUUAGCCGCAAACAAUAUUUUAAAAACCCUAUCUUACUAUCCACACCAAUAUAAUGGUGUCAUGUUGAGCACGGAAUCCUUUAUAAGUUCCAAUCUCGUUCUUCUUUCAUCCAGUUACAAAAAUUUUUCAUUUCUUUUAAAUCAUAAAAUUAUUUUUAAAAUAAAAAAUAAAAACGAAAGAAUUAAAUAUCUAUUUUAUAGCAGAUUUUUUACUUUUACUUUUACAAAUAACAAAAGAGAAAAAUAACAUGGAAUAAAAUUGAGUCCUUUUUUUUUAUUAACAAACAGUAAACUAUUAUUUUUUUGUAGAAAAAAAUAUUUAAAUACGUCCUCAACUUAGGAUCAAUUUUAUUUAAUAUCUCUCGAGUCUACAAAAUUUUAAAAUAAUCUUUUAAAUUAGUUAAAUAGUUUAAUAUGAUUCAGCUAUUUCAUUUCCUUACCUUUAUGUAAUGGCCCAGAUAUCAUAACAAUAAUCCUGGAUACUAAUAAUAGCUCAUCUUCAUUUAUUUUUUUCAGACGCACAGCACAAGGCAUAACAAGUGCGACAUCCGUGAGGAACUGCUUAUACCAAACUAAUGAUUCAGGCGACUUAAUCAUGAUAUAGCCUGUGCAAUCAAAUCCAACCCAAUUUUCGAAUGAAAACCAUUGAUAAUGGGUGUCGGCAUAUCAUGUGCAGUAUCAGUAUCAUCAAUAAAGCCAAUAUCAUUAUCCUCUUAAAAACAUAUUCAAAAUCCAAAAAGCUUGGUCAGAGUAAAGCUCUAGAAUUUUGGAAUACUUGGAAAUAUGUGAUGGACCAGAAAGGUACCGCAUUGGCAGUUCUAAUAAAGUGAAAAUUGAGCACCAAAAUUCUCGCCAUGGAUGUGAUUCACCGGUUUACAGUGUGGGGGCUUUCCUAACAUAUAAAAUUAAAGAAAACCCCACUUCCUUUUGCAAGUCUCCUGUGAGUUAUUUCCCCGCAAGUUGAUAGUUUCGCUGAGACCGCCCUCACAUGACUGGCGAAACAGCGGUCCCAAGAUUAUAGAGGGCAUGGAAGGCCAAGAAACAGCAGGGCAUGCCCAUUUCCACUAACAAUCGCCACUUCAUGUAAUUUUUUUUUCUUCUUUUCCUUGGCUAUUUUUUCCCCUUCUUUCCACUUGGAGCAUGUACAUACAUUAUCCGUUGGAACGGAGCGGGCACAAUGAUUGUGGCAUACUGAUAGAGUGCCUAAUACAUCCUUGAAAAUCCAAAUUGAACGGCCCCGAUCUUCCUGUGGGCACCAGCAGCUGCUGCUGCUGCUGCUGCUGCUGCAGAAAUUCCAUAGGGGGAUCUUGCCUGCAGCAAGUUUGACUCCAUUGUGAUCCUGUCAGCUGGAUCAGCCUUCCUCCCUCCUGAAAGAAAGAAGGGCGAAGCCCUCAUAUCAAGAGCUACGUCUGGGGCCAUCUUGGUAGGUAUGAACUGCUGGGGUUGUCUGUGCUGUACAUACUCCCUCUCCACCUCUGCUGCGACUCUGUCAGAGCUCUCCGACUUGCCCGUGGUCCUGUGGAAACAGUAAACUGGAGGAAUGACAGGCUGCGGUGGAAGCGCAGGAUUCCUUAUCAGCCUUCUUGGAUCAUAGGAGUCCUUGAGACCUUCAUUCUCAUAUGGCAUUACUGAGCCAACAAGCUUUCCCGGCUUCGCUGAACAGAGGGAAAAAAAAGGGGGUAUUAUCAGUGCAGCACUAGGAUGAUAGCUGCUUCUUGCUAUGGUUAUUUUGUACUGAAGCACGUACUAGCUGGAAUCCUUUGAGGUGCCUGCCAAGCCCUUGACAUAUUUCCCGACAACCUUUCUGUUUCUCGAUAAUUCUUACGUGCCUCAUCUGAGGGUUGCCGGUCUCUGUAUAGAGCCAUAUUAGGCCGUUCCUUGGGAGGAAAUGGAGUAGAGUAGACAACUGUAGACCUGAAAGAUACAAGAAAAAAAAUAACAAGGAUUGCAAAAAAAUAAAUAAAUAUUGAUGGAAAAGGGAAUACAUAUAUGGAAAGACUUAAAUCAAUCAACCACAGAAAUACAACUGGAUAUUACAAAUCCACAAGCAUUCCAACAGAAACCUCAUGAUGGAAAGUGUGCAACUAUGCAAGCAGCCGACAUUUAAGCAGAACAAGAAUGAAUGGAACAUAAACCAUUAAAAUAAACUAACCAGAGCCUUAGAGCCUUAGAAAAGACAACUGAGCUAUCCUGUUAUAUUACAAUCAAAAAAAUAAUGCUUCAGAUAACUUGUUAUCACGUAUCAACCAACCAUUUUCUAUGAGACUUCCAACUCACAGUACUUCAAAAAGUACACACGAUUUUGGUACUUCCUAUAUAUAGUUCCUACAAUUCCUAUCAGCGCCCUCCUAGAUCAAGUAUGGCUUGGGAUAGGGACAAACAGCUAUAUAUUAGGCCCUAGUAUCAGAAUAAAAAAUAUUGUCCAAGUUCCUGAUUCAAGAUAUCCUAUUCUUUUUCUUAUGCAUAACCCAUAUUCAUAUUUAUGCCUCCUGUCAUGGCUCAGAUCAGCAGGCAUGUAAAUCAUCAGGGAAGGGAAUAUAAUUACCAAAACACCAUAUAUUCAGAAAGUAAGACACAAUCAACCACCACUGUAAUAAUAGAAAUUCACCAAUAACUUGCCACCAGAACAAGAUUACUCUCCAUAGGUGUAGGUUACAGCAUUCAACACAAUCUGCAAGUUCCCAUGCAGCACAAUCAUUGAUAUUAUAUAUUCCUAGAAACCCUUCAUUACCAAUCAUGCAAUGAUAUCACAAAUAUACUGAGCACAGGUGUGCUGUCAUUCCUCAGGAUGCCUAAUCAUUGAGACCAAAAUCAAAAAACCUAUGCAAUAUGCAACUGCAACUAUGUGCCUGACACAAAUGAUAUCUUACAUACACCUUAUCCACUUAACACAAGCACAAGACAAAAAUCAUGAGAUGCCAUCAUCUUCAUGAUAGCUAAAUGCUACAUGUGUAGGAAUGUGGGGAAUAAUACCUAGGAAGAGAAACAUGCUUUCUAUCUGAUGGAAGCACUGGCCCACUUUUGCCACCGUUUUCCUCGAGGUGAGCAAAUUGCUUCCUGAAUUGAUCAAUGGCACUGCAUAAAAGAGGCAGACAGAUAAUAUUACCAUAGUUACAAAUGUAAGAACAUUUACAGUGAAUCAGAAUAUAGAAUGAACAGGAGAGAGGAAAAGAAAGAAUUGGCAAAAGCAAAACCUAGGAUAGAGGAAGGUUGUCCUCUCUGUUCCAUUAACAUGGUCCUUGAGCAAUUGCGGAUGAUAUUCCAAUAUCUCACGGAAGAUAAGUUCCCUAAUGUCUUCUUCAGUCACUCUCUGGCGCUCGAACUCAAACUCCAUCUUUGUGAUUGGUUGGCAAGAUGGUUCUCUCUCCACUUUGGCCAGGCCUUUGAAGUAUGGAUCCGUCAAUGCCUGAUAAAAUGUCAAAUAUGGAAAAUCAUAUGUACAGAGGACAAGUUCUUAUGAUGCUAUCCGCAUAAUAAAUAACUGAUGUAACAUUAAAACUAUUAAAGAAACCUCAAGCAAAAAAAUGAGAAUAGAGUGAAGAAGGAAAUGCAUCUGACUAAAUAUGCAUACCUGUUCAGCUGUUAGCCGGUCCUUAGGAUCAAACGCUAAAAGUCUUUCCAAAAGUUUUAGUGCCAGAGGAUCUGCAUUUGGGAACUUCUGUGCAAAUUGUACAGGCUGUUUUUUCCUCAUAGUGCUCAAGUAUCUUCUUGCCUUCUCAUUUCGCACCUGACGACAAAAACAGAUGAACAUUACAUGAGGGGACCUUCAGCACUCAUGUUCUAGCCUAGAGUAUAAAUCCACCUUCAUAAUGUACAUUCAUAGAAUGAAUACUGCCAUACCCGAGAUAUUGUAUCCGAGGAAGGUGUUCCAAGAAGAUCAGUGAUCAAGUCCAACUGAUGAACCACAUUUUUACCAGGAAAUAAAGGCUUGCCUGUUAAUAUCUCAGCAAAAAUGCAACCUAUGCUCCAUAUAUCAAUAGCAGGAGUGUACUGCAAUUUCCGAAAUAACCAUUCAGUCUCAUCAAGAAAGACAAAACACUCCAAGACAUGAACAGAAAGCUAACAUCAAACCUCAACACAUAGUGCCCCUAAGAUAUGAUAUUUCAGUUUCAGAAAUUUAACAUUCUGCCUGAACAAGCAUUUUUUUAAUUAAAUUAUUUUAGAUUUUCGAAAGCUUUUUAGAGAAACCCGCUAAAAUAAAGGCCCUUAUCACCAAAUUUUAGGAUGUUUUGAUGGUUCUCGAGCAUCAGAAUACUCCUACCAGGAGUACAUGAAGACCACAACAGAUAAUCAACUUGACAAACAAAGAGGAUAAUGGUUGAUACAUGUCCAGUUGAUGAUCUUCCCUCUAGAAACAAGGUCAUAUAUAUCUUGAAGUGGCUCCUCAGCCAAGUAGAUCCCAUGGCCUACAAUUUUCAUUACUACAUAUGGAAUCUCUGACUGUCCCAGGGAAGGAGCAAGAGUGCUGCCCAUACAGGUCAAAGGUGCUCUUUCCAACUAUUAAAUUUUUACUUGGAGGUUGUACCACUAGUACAGAAUGGUUGAUAGAAUCAAAACUAAAUGCAAUGUCAUUAUGCAAGCAAAGAAAAAAUAGCACGACAUUAGAUAAAUGUUUUGUAAGUCUGUCAUCUGUAUACCUUCAAAAUAGCAUUAAAAUGUCUUUGGCAAGCAUUGUUUCAUAACAGGAGCUUCUUUAAAGUCAUUCCUUGUAAGAAGGACAAUAAAACAAGGCCAAUGUCAUCUUCAGAAUAUUUGUCUGGAAAAUGAGAGAUGAAGAAGGUCUAUGCAUCGCUGAAAUAAAAAGAUGAGAAGAAGCUUGAGGGAAAAUCAUUAUAGCAGAAUAGAUAUUGCUUGGACGCUGGAUGGGAUUCCUGAUGCUUUUGAAAAUUUUACUAACAAAAAAUCUCAUCAGAUCAAGUGCAACUAAAAGCCCAUCUAGAAGACAUACUUUCACUAGUAAACUUGUUCCUGCAGCAUGCUGAAAAUGGAUUUUCCCACAGUCCAGUCACUAGACAACAUCCCAUUGUGGAAAGAAGCUUAACAUAGCAAGACAUCAGGAAGAAACACACUACGCACAUUACUGCCCAAGCUCAAUCUACAAAAAAAAAAAAAAAAAAAAAAAAAAAUUAAAGAAGCAAAGGAAAAGAGACAGAACACACCCAAGACCAUGGAACAGGCACGAUUUCAUAAGAAAGUCAGCAAAUUCUCAGAUAGGAUUCCUAAAAACAUAAUAAACCUAUGCAAAAGGCCAAUCUAAGUGUAGCCAUGUUGCAAAAUGCUGAUUAAUGCAUGAUAUGGCAUCACAAAGAUAAAUAUUAAAUGGUCUUUUUAGUUCUGCACAUUCAAUAUAGGAUGCUUUUUUCACUCAACAGUAGAAUAAAAAAAUUACUAGACUAUAGAAACUCAAAAUCAUACUGUAAUGAGAAUUAUGGAGCGGUGCAAAGCAUACCUUAGAAAAGAAUGAUCCACAUAACUCGGGAGCUCUGUACCAUCUGGUUGCAACAUAAUCCUGCAUAAAAUAAUGGUGCUUCAGAAGGUGAAAAUAGGUAAAAGACUGGUUCGAGAUGAACUAAAAUGGCAAUUGAGUAUCUAAAUAAGCUAGAUGCUAGCAAAUAGAUUAGAAGAUGACAUAAGAAAAUCAGACUCAACUCCUUGACAUACCGUCCAAAAUAUUGUUGUUGGGGUAUCGCUAAAUGCAACUCUCGCUAGUCCAAAAUCACAAAUUUUGAGUUUGCAGUUGGAAUUUGCCAGUAUGUUCUUGGGCUUUAAAUCACGAUGAUAAACAUUAGCUGCACUCAAAUGGGUUUGUAUUAAAACCAUGCCAAACACUCUUGACGCUACCAAUAAUAAACUACAGUAUAUUCCAUCAAGCAAAUAAUGCACAAGAUUGACAAGGCAUCAUAAAUAUAAAUGUCGCCCACUAAAUAAUGAAUCAAAAAGCAUAAGCAUUUCCUGUGCUUCAUAAACAAGGGUUUCUAAUAAAUGCAGCAAAUGCACACUAACAUGAUAACUCAGAUAGAAUUAAUGGAACAUUAAAAUACUAAAAUUUGGAGCAUACAAAACACCUAAAUCAAGAUGCACAGUGAAAACUGAAUAAAUAGACUCAGAUGACAACCCACUGCCUGAUGAUUGUGGGAUUUUUUAUGGCAUCAUUUAUUAAACUGAAAGGAAAUUUUAGCUCUCUUGUAUAGACUUACCUCAUACUUUUGAUAGAAAUGAUAAGAUUUUGUCAAAAAAAAAAAAGAGAAUUAACUGAUAAACAAUAUUUCAUGACAAGACACCAUAUAAACAAAAGAACUAUGAAUGAAACUUUUUAGGAGUAGGAACCAAUUGAAGCAGAAACAAAAAAGAAAGGAAAAGAAAAAAAGAAAAGAUCUAUUGCUACUGCCACAGUCAUAAUGUCUUACCAAGAAAAUCCACAAAAUGUUUGCUUUCAUCUAUAUUGAUUCAUGAUGUAGCAUAACUGGAAGGUUAAUGAUAACUUUUCUGUUAUAACUGAAUUAUGUCGAUUAAGGAGAGUUCAAAUGUGUAAUCGCAGCAUGUCAGUGACCAGGGAACAUCAAGGGCGGGGCAAUUCUUUUCCCUGAACCAAUCUGGUUUGGAUAGUGCAUAUUGUAAUACAGGUAAAAUUUAGAUCGGACAUCAUGACUUCAAUUUUUACAUGGAAUGAGAUAGACAAGACACUGCCAGAAAUGGUUAAUUAUAGGUUGGACACGUCAAAAUGACUGUUAAUAGGCUCGUCUUCUUCUCCCUUGUCCGUCUCUUAGAAUAUGUCAAAGAAAGACACAAGAAAGAGUGACUGUUGUAGCAAGAGACAGUAAACUCGUCUGUUCAAACAUGAUAACAAAAACUAAACGGAGCAAAUUGUCAAAGUGUAGCUAGCUUUACCCAAAACAAACUUAAAUCUGAGUGUACAAAUGAUUCUUUCAACUAAAUUUCAUCCUAUUCCUCCAUUCUCUUCAGCUCUCUCCUUCGAUUCUCAGCAGUUGCAUUUCUCAGCCUCCUCCCGAUAGAAACAAAAGGCAAGACAGCCUGUUUUAAUUUCCUCUCUUUAUCGCCUAUUUCAAGCAAGAUCAUACAAUAUCUAACUACAAAGCAAGCAUAUUAUACUGAAGCCACUUGCCAAAUUCUGUUCGAUAUUUAGAUGAAUCUGAUUAAGGUAGCAAUUUUUUUCAGCGAACAUUAAGCUGAAUAUUUCAGUCAUUUAUGUUGAACAAAUUCUGGUAGACAGUUAGGGGGCAUGAAUAACAUGAGAUGCUCUAAAAUAAAUGAUAACUUAAGGAUAAAGAUUAUGCCACAACUGUGAAUUAGAAUGUAAAGUCCAACAGAUGCACGACUAUUAAGUUCACAAGAGAGUAGCAUGUCUAAAGAUGAAGAGGGACUUAAAUUUGGGUUGAAAGUUCAACAAACAAAGGCAACAUCUAAUGAUACUUAAAUGGACAUUGCAAAAAAAGAUUAGAAGAUUUGCCUUCAUUAACAUUUAAUAAUUAUUCAUUAACAAAAUCAGAUGUCUUGUUAACACCAGACCCAGCUACAGAUGGUACAAGUUGCUAGCAAUAGUUAUGUGCAGAGAGGCACUAUAUCCUUCAAUGGGUAAAAAUGUUCAAUAAGAAUUUUUUUGAAGAAAAUUUUAUAUCAAAUCACUCGAUGGCACAAAUGAUGUUUGGUAAUAAUAAGAAGGUUCAAACCUGUAUGGAUAUAUUUCAAAGCACGCAGAAGCUGAUAAAGAAAAAACUGAUAAUGUUCUUUUGUCAAGUCGUCAUUAGCUUUGAUGACUUGAUGAAGAUCCGACUCCAUGAGCUCAAAAACAACAUAAAUAUCUUUGAAAUCCCUUCUUGAUGGAGGCAGCAUAAUGUGCUUGAUCUCUACAAUGUCAGGAUGUCUUAGAAGCCUGAGAAGCUUAAUCUCACGGAGGAUCCGAGCAGCAUCAGAUAAGUGUUCAAAGAUAUCAUGUAUCUUUUUGAUUGCCACUUUUUCACCAGUAUGUGUAUCAAUUGCUGAACACACAACUCCAUAGCUUCCUUUACCAAUGACCUCCUGAAUUUUGUAUCUAUUGGCAUCACCAUAUUCAGUGAAAAAUUCCAUCUCUGAUGAACUCUGCAAAAAGUCAUCCAAUUGCAAUAACCGAUGACAUUUACAGCAAUACAGCAGAUAACUUUUAUCGAUGCUAAUGGCAGAGGAAAAAAGAUUUUUAUGUGGAAUCAAAAGAAAAUGGAAACAAAAUAAAAUUUUAACAGCAGAUUUUACUAAAAAGGCCAUCGCCAUGUAAUGUCCAUCUCUCUCAAAAUGUGUAUAGAUCCCAGAAAAAGUUAUAAGAUAACACCAACAGAACAUAUAUUUAUUCUAUUAUUGCUAAUCAAUUAAAAAUGACUGAAAAGAACUACAGUGAACUACUGGCUUCUCAGAGUCCCGCAACUCUCCUAGAGCUCUUGGAGAUUAUAUCAUAAACAAUUUUCAUUACAUCUAUAGUUCAACAGUCAACGGAAUUUCAUGUAAAUAAAUUAAAUUCCUAGAACUUUAUAAAAACAUUAAAAAGUAAAAGGCGAAAGUUGCCAAGCAGGCUUUUAUGUUAAAGAAAAAACCUUUUUAAUUCAAAUUAAGUAUAAGAGAAUUUCACAAUUAUACAUUUCACUUAAUGCAAGGAGCUAGGAAGCAAUUUUUUCCUGAUCAAAGAAACAUUGUUAAAGCAGGGUUCUUCUUGCUGUCACAUAUGCACUGAUCCACUUGUCCUCAAGGACAGGUGACAGUUGGCAUGCAUGGCCCUGUGCCAGUCACACAAGCAUUGACUGAGAUUUAUUGAAUUUUCAAAAACUAAAUUGUUUAAGAGUUUAGCAUCAAAGAAUAACACCAAGAACCAUCUCAGACAUGAUAUAGGCGUGUCAAGCCUCUCAAUCUUAAAGUUUAUCUCUCUUUACAAAAUACCAGAAAAUUUUCAACCAUAUCUAAUGAUAAUUCAACUGAACUUCGCACUCAUCAAUGCUGAAAAUGGAAACAAGAAUAGAAACAACAACAACAACAAUAACAAAGAGAAUUCCCUAAACUCCUUGCUUACGCUCAGAACACGACCUGCCCCCAUCGCACCAACCACACAGAACAGGCAGUCCAACAAAACAAUAACUUCUGUAGAAGGUACGCCACUAUGAAAAAGAAAAACAGGCAAAACUAGGCGGUUGAUUGAGGUCAUGAGAUGCGAGAAAACAACUCAAAAGGAAACCUACCUUUUAUACUAAAAAUAUUUGCAUUCCAAGAAAAAGGAAAAGCGAGGAAGAACUUAUCAUAAAAAAAUGCGGGAAGUGAGCGUGGAACCUGGUUCUUAGAAACAGUCUUGUCAUGGACGAUAAGAAACAAAAGAAGAAGAGGAUUGCAAGAAGAAAAAGGGAAUCGAGAAAGGAGAAUUAUGGAAGAAGAAAACGAGCAAAAAAAGUUGAACAGUAAACAACCAGCUUUCGAACGAUUACGGACGAUGCAAAAAAAUCGUAUUUACUAGCACAUCGCCAAUCCAGUUCGUCUACGAAAAGACUUCCCCUGAGAAACCAGUCUCAUACCCAAAUCGAACAGAGAAGCAAAACCAACAGCCUAAGAACAGGUCGAGAAAAAAUCUGACCUUCCUUCGAUGAUCUUGCUGCAUUUCUUCACAGAUCUCCAAACCCCAAGAUUCAAGAUCUCGCCUUUCCCUCUUCUUGCCUCACGUUCCACUCUUUCCCUUGUUCUUGAUGUCUCUCCUCAAAUCUCUCUCGAAACCGAAAGAUCUACGGGAAAUCAGCCACAUUUGUCCCAGCUACCCGUGCCCCGGAUCACCAGCCCGAAGUCCCGCCCCGACCACCGCCAAUCCUCCGGAUAAUAUAAACACCGAAGCCGAUCAAGCCGAUCCCUCAUGCACUCCCCCACCCUCGAGACGACAACGCGGGCGACGAGGCCGCCGGCCGCUCCAAUCAUAGAGUGGAGAAGAAGCCCCUCCUCCUCCCCGCUUGUUUCAUCUCCGCCACCGCUGCCGCCGCGCCCAGUGCCACACAAUUCCGGUACGUCCGCCGCUCAAGAACCACUCCACCAAUCGACCGAGGCCGAGAUCGAAAUAGAUAUCUAAAGCGAAAGAGAUAAAUGGGAAGGGGGGGGGAGGGGAUCCAAUCCCUAAUCCUGGGCGGGUUAUGCUUCGAUUUUCAGAAAGAAGAAGAAGAGAAUGGGGGAGAGGAGGGAGUGGGGUUCUUGUUCUUGUGGUCAUGACACUGGGGCGUUUAUAUAUUUUCGGGGGACGAGAAUACCCCUCACCGGCAAGCGGGGUGAAGUGGCAGUAUGGGGUAAAUAAGGUGGGUUGGGGGGCGUUUUUGAACACGCGGCCAGCGGAUCCGGUCCGAUUUGGCGGGUUGCGUUUGCGUGCGUGCUGCCGGACUCGGCGCUGGCAGGCGGAGGUCGGAGCCGUGGAAGCUUCCCUCUGCUUGAAUUGAUGGAGUUUAAUGGGGGUGGUAAGUUUUAGCUAGAAGAAUUGAUAUCUCAACUAAUUCUUUAUUUUUUUAGGUUUCAAGUCCCGUGUUUCUAGAACCAACCGUUGCAGGUUUUUCCGACUGAUAUCUCAACUAAAAUCAUGCUUUUCUAUGAAGACUCUUGAUAGGUGUAUAAAUUGGGUCAUAGAUAACCCCUAUUUCAUUUAAUGAACUCGAAUUUUCAUACAUCUAUACAUAUAUUUUAUGUAUAUCCUUUCCCUUUCUUUCUCUUUUUUUCUAAAACAGACAUUUAUACAUUACGAAUAUGAUCACAUCCAAUAAAAUUAGAAACAAUAAGUUUUAGAAUGCCGUAAGCAAUUCUCCCUCUCCAGCCCACAGUGCCCCCAGAGUAGCAGGCCACAUAAGAAGCCAUUCAGUCCGCAGCCCCGUUGGUCUCUCUAAACACAUGUUUAAUCUGAAAGGUCACUUCAUCUUUCACCAUCGCCCAAAUAUUCCGAAGCAGGAGGUGUCUCUCUCCACCAUCGCUCAGGCGGCCCUAAAUCUAACUUAUCACGAUAGCCGAGUCGCCCUCCAAUAUAAUUGAGCUAAUCUGUAGCACUCGUCGUGCAUGACUCAGGUCAGCCCAUAUCGCCCGCCGUGCAUCAUGGAAACAGAAAAGUAUAUGGGCAUGCAUAUGCAUAAAUUAUCAAAUUGCCAUGUGUUAAUUAUACAACGCCAAGUAUUUCUUUUCAAUGAUCUUAACAGAGUUGCAGUGUAGUGAUGAUGUUCUCUAAUGAAGAAUGUUCCCACCAGAAAAACUGCAGAAAUAUUCUAUUUAUUGAGGGAAUUAAGAUGAUUGAUCAUAAUUGACUAAAAUGAUUGUGAUGCUUUGUCAUUGAUUGAUUUUUAUAGUACCCUGAAAAAAUCUAGUAUGUUAGUUCCUAAUCAUCAUUUUCUUCAAAGCGAGCAACUUUGUAUCCGUUUGAAAAUCUUCAUCAUGGUUACAAAGCCAGACCAAUCAUUUCACAAUAAGAAAUGGUAAUAUUUAGUUGCGAUGGUCCUAACCUAUGUCCAUCCUCUCCCCACUAAAAGUUGCAGAAAUAUCCAUCAAUAGAUGCUUAUCUUUUGUUCGAUCCUGUUAGGUGUGGGGUUUCGCCAACCACAAGUUUAAAAUAAUGCACCGAUAAUGACUCGUCGUACUUCAAUGUGGACCAAUUAACAAAAGCAAUCAAAGAAUAGACUUGAUCACAAAGAUACUAACCCCAACAAGUAAUGGAAAUUUAAUAGUACCAACUCUCCCAAGCGAAAAAUUUCUUAUGCAAUAGACAUAUUGAACAUUCAUAGUAUAGUUUUCGCCAGAACAUGAAUAAUCUUACGAGCCGGAUCUAAGGAUGGAUCUCCUCCCAAACAAUUGAAGCCACCAUUCUAAUGCUAUUACAGCUGUUACUUGAGACCGUUCCAGGCAUUGAACAUCUCAAAUUAGUAGUUCAUUACCAUCUUUAUCCUUUCUUAUACCAAUGUUCCAACCAUAUAUUGGUAGGGGUACAAAUGGAUCAGGUUGGAUCAGAACUAAUCCUGAGUAACUCCUAUCCAAUUCGAUUUUUUGUUCGGGUCCUAAUUUUGAACCUACAACUUCCUUAUUUUGGCGCUGUAGUGCACCAAAUAUAGCUGUACGGUACUAAGAGUCCAACUAAGAAGACAGUGGGGCUGGCUGUCCAUUAAGCUGUGUCUGGCUUUUGAGUUCAGAGGUCAGAGAAUGGGGACCAAGCCAUGCGCACGGAUAAGAGUUGAAGGACACAAGAGGACGGCCUUUUUAUAUAGUCCUUCCAUAUACCUUCACCAUCCCCAGUCCUGAGGACCUCACCAUAUACUAUUGAGAGCUCACAAAGCCUCACCUACCAUCGCCAAGGCUGUCCAUAAUAUUAAUCUAAAGCUACACACCUUCCUUAAAAAACUCAUCCCUCUGAACCAAAUCGUUACGUUUUUGAUCUAAACAAAAAUAUAUCUUAAUUAAUCAAUAAUAGAAGAAGUUGAGUCAUGUAUUAGAAGUCAAAAAGAACAAGAAUGAAGGGAGGCUUUCUAUGCUAAUUUUUUCCGAUAAAAUGCUCUCAUUUUAGAUUGCUCAAGCAGAGAAUUCUAUUUUUCCUUGUCAACAUGGUUCCGCCUUAGUUGCAUAGGAUGAAGUUCCAGCCAGCUACAUCUUCUAUAAAACAUCCUCUUAAAAGUUAAAUAUGAUUGAAGCAUAUUAUGUUAUGGCUACUAUUCCACUAUUAUGCAGUCUUUGAAAGGAAAGAAACUGCAUAACAAAUCAGCCCUGCUUUCGACUUGUUCCUCAGCUGCAAUCAACCUCUUCAAUGACUGAGAAAUAACAAUUUUGUUUCUUUCAGCUACAGCUCCUGUUCAAUCUCUGCUUCCUAUCAUUUGUCAAAUCUCGAGCUUCAGUUAUUAUCGCGGUGGUGGUUUAAGUGAAAUACCUUCAUCUGAUUUUGUUGAAUUUCCAAUGGUACAGUAUGCUGCCUUUGAAGAGUUGUUCUUGUUUCUUCAAUUGUUGGAAACUCACAACAAAGAAAUGAAGCAUUCUGGUAGGAAGCUAAAUUGAAACAAAGACCAAUCUGAUAGAAAGUUGAACUCAACUCCUAACUAUCAGUUGGGUACAAUCUUUUCCUCAUCAUAUUGCUUACUGUUUCGUCUAUUUUUUCUCACAGGCUGUUACUUAUUCCCCUCCUGCCUUCAUAUUGUACAUUCCAUCCCCAUGUUUUUCUGGCACAUGUACAUACUUCUCUCUUGUAUUCAAUAAAGCAGCUGAGAGCCUAACGCGGUAUUUAACAAAUGAUCUUUUUGCCUUCUGCGCUAUUUGCAUGCAGGCACAUGAGUGCUGAUGGGAAUCCCUGUCUCUUCUCUUCUUGGUCCACAGCAUGGUCCAAAGUUACGGCGCUUGGAACAUUAUAUAACAGCCACUAUACCAGAAAAUUACAGUGUCGUUUACGACCAGUAAUAAUAUCCAAGACACUUGCUAUUUGAUUUUAUAUAUAUGUCAUUCUAUCAUAAUAAUUGUAUAAAGAAAAUAAUGUUCUUCUUAGUUAAUAACAAAGUAAUGUUUCUAAAUUCGAUCAAUUGCAAUAUAAUGUUCUUAUCAAUUUAGUUGUCCAUUAAUUUAUGCAGAUAAUGAUUUUGCUAUCUUAUUUUUACUGAAAUGAUUGUUGUAAUAUGUAUAUUUUUUUUUUCUGCUGAAACGGAUGAUUCAUACAUAUUUAGUAUGGAUACAUCUAAUAAAAUUAGAAUUCUCCAACCCAUAAAGUCCCUUUGGAAUGACCGGCGAUAUACGAAGCCAUUCAGUCUGCGUCCCCAUUUGCUUCUCUGAAAUAAUUGUUAUAAUAUAUUGAUAACUAUAGUGAGCCUAUUGUAUAAGAAUAAUCAAUGUUAUUUCCACAUCUCUGGGACAAAAUUUGUACGGCACAAAAUUUUCAUGGGCAAAGCAUAAGUGAACUUUUGAAAGUGAUGUUGUUGGCCACUGAGAUGGUAGCUCAGUGGAACAGAGUUUUAUUUCCAAUCAAGUGGUUCCGAGUUCGAAAUGCACGGACGUCGAUUAAAUUGUGGAGACAGGAUGCUCUCUGCUUGGAUACAGGGUUUGGAAGGGUUACUGGUCCGCUAGUAGCCUCGGUGGUGCCAGAUGUCGAAGCUUAAAGGAAUCACCGAACUGGGCUCAUGGAUGGAGAAAGUAUGAGUAAAAUUGGCCGGGAUGCCCAAUAUACGGUCAUUUCUGCCCGCAUCGAAUAUUCUUCUGGCAAGAUGGGGGCACAGUGGAGACGGCUAUACGAGAGUGGGCUUGUCCCUUCCUUCCUCCUUCUCCAAGGAAAAAAAAAAGUGAUUUUGUUGAGACCUUUUUGUUUCUGUUUUGAGCAAAGGUGGGGUUCGAACCUUAAUCUAAGUAACCAUCUAAAUUCUGAAAAAUUCAGAAGCGUGCACAGUACCUAACGUAAAGCGGGCAGCGGUUGCUAUCACAUGAGCGUUACCGCUACUCUUUUCUAUUUUAUAUUAUCCAAUCGAACGCCGUGAAGCCUCUUCGCAUUUCCCUUUCCGUCUGACAUCGACUCGCUCGGUGUCGGUGCCGUUUAGCUUGCGGCUCCCAUCGGCUACGUUUUCGAGGUACAACGUGUCAGGCUUUUGGUGAUGGCAUUCUCUGUUCUCUCCACCUCUCAUCCAAAUCCCCGAGCAAGUCCUCAUCCAAAGGAGAAAUAAAUUUAUCCAUAUCUUCAGGUAAGGCUACUGAUAGAGUCAGCCAGUCAGGAUGGUGAGAUUAGCUUGCUGUGCCACAAAAUUUUUCUCUUCACUGGUAGACUCGAAGUAUGAGCAAGUGUAAAUCCACCAUGAUCAAUUGGCUUGAAGUAUAUGAUUCUAUUUAUGAAUUGGGCGGCCUCCUCUCUUGUUUUGUAAACCACCGUGCUAUUAUUUUAAAUAAGUCUAGAAUGUGUAACGCUAUUAUGCCUCCUCUUAUUAUAUGACAUCUAUUUUUUACCAACCCAAUAUUGGUUUGAUUUAAAUAUCUACUAUGAUUCAGAAUUAUAUUAGAAUGGACUUGCCGUGGCAGAGAAUGUUGUUAUGAAAUGUGUGUGUGUGUGUCUCUCUCUCCGUUCUAAAUUAUUUUUAGCUUUUGUUUGAAUGCUCUAAGUUCCAAUCAAUUAAGGCCAAUGUUACAGUUGAAUUAGUGCAUCUCCAAUGAUUUCAGCUCAAGUGACAAUGGAUUCUAGAAUGUGAUGUUUUUUAUAAAAAAAGGCAAAGUUAUCAAGGAAAAUCUCUUCUUUUUUUUUUAUUCUCAGUGCCUUCCCUUGUCAUUGCCUAGGAGCGAAAAAAACCAAAAACAAAAUCUUGUACGCUACGAUGUAUCUUAAGGAUGUUGUGAUCCUAUUAAUCAGAAAAAAGUUUGAGAUGUAAAACAUANNNNNNNNNNNNNNNNNNNNNNNNNNNNNNNNNNNNNNNNNNNNNNNNNNNNNNNNNNNNCCCUAACAAGUUCACAUUAUGAUUGGGAAAAAUUGUUUGGACAAGCGGGGAUGCCCUGUGGAACCAAGAAGUAUAUUAAUAGGCCUUGACUUACAGCAUCAUUACGUAGCAUUACCAACACAUCAACAACAUUAACAUAGGCCUUGACUUGAUCAUUAAACUACCACUAAACUAAGUGGUUUGAUUCUUGCCAAUGGACUUCGAACCAUAUGUGGAAUGGCACUUUACUUCUUGGUGCUUGGGCAAUGAACAUGCAAGUUCCAGGUUUAAAUCUUCUGGAGAUAAGCUUCUCUCUCUUAGUUAGGAGAAAAAAAAUUGAUUGAUUCGAAAUCAUUUCUAUUAGUUCUAUAGACUGAAUUAGCCCAUAUGUUCUCAACCACUUAUACUGUCUUUGGCUAUUAAUUUCUUGCUACUCAUCUAUAAUGCAACUGGUAGGUAGAAUACCAAAUAUCACAUUCCCGGAAGCACAAUACUUGUUCAAAUGUCAACAGUGCAAUAAUACCAAGUGGAUAACACCUAUGGUCACAAAAUGAAAGCGGAAUUAUUAGGUGGGAAGCCCCACAUCAAUACUCACUAACUACCCAAUCCUUUGAGUCUAGGCCUAAUUUUUUGAAGAGUUCCCUCAAA
Molecule: long non-coding RNA, 33339 nt
Filed under: Phoenix dactylifera (date palm)
Lineage: Eukaryota; Viridiplantae; Streptophyta; Magnoliopsida; Arecales; Arecaceae
Description: long non-coding RNA (PDAC_LNC003119)
Source: RNAcentral